ACAUAUAUAGUAUAGGUUUUAUAUUCAAUUUAGGUUUGAAAGAAUAAAUGUAUGUU
This 56-nucleotide transfer RNA is filed under the name Ascaridia galli. Its description in RNAcentral is "tRNA-Leu". The record is from RNAcentral. Lineage: Eukaryota; Metazoa; Nematoda; Chromadorea; Rhabditida; Ascaridiidae.